This 1291-nucleotide long non-coding RNA is filed under the name Equus asinus (donkey). Its description in RNAcentral is "lncRNA (ENSEASG00005028228.1)". The record is from RNAcentral. Lineage: Eukaryota; Metazoa; Chordata; Mammalia; Perissodactyla; Equidae.
UGUAAUCUGCAUUGAUGCUUGCUUUCCACGUUUCAUUUACUCAGCAUUAAGUAUUUAUUAUUUUUUCUUUAUAUACAUAUAUAUUUUAUCUUAUUAAAAGGAAAAAAUCUUUAGUCUGAAGCAGAACAAUUAAAUUGACUCUUACUUAUGCAUGUCUAUAUAACCUUGGUCAAAGAGGUGGUACUCUUAAUCCAUUUCUUUCUUUCUUUCUUUCUUUUCUUUUGCUGAGUAAGAUUUGCCCUGCAGUAACAUCCAUUGCCAAUCCUCCUCUUUUUGCUUGAGGAAGAUUGUCCCUGAGCUAACAUCUAUGCCAACCUUCCUCUAUUUUGUAUGUGGGUCACCACCACAUCACUGACAAGUGGUGUAGGUCUGUGACCAGGGUCCGAACCCACAAACCUGGGCCGCCGAGUGGAGAGCACAAACUUAACCACUAGGCCACACGUCCAGCCCCAAUCCCUUUAGUUCUUAAGGAGUAUCACUGUUUCAAUUUUUAACAAUAAUAAUUCUUGCCUCACCACAUAUAUUCACACUUGGACAAUACUUCACUGUGUUCUUAUCUAUUUAUUUAUAUUUCUUUAAUGGUUUUCAUUGAUCCAUUAAUAAUAACAAAUCUAAAUCAAUGAAUACAGGUUAAGAACAUGAUUUUUGUAUAUUUCUAAUAUCUAUCUACAGGACGCUUUCCAAAAGAGGGAUGUGGUUAAUUAUGUUUUGUGUUGGACCUCAGAGUUCCAGGCACAUCUUAUUCACCAUCCAUGACCCAUAUGCCACUUGUCAUCAUCAUUGGUUCAGGUUUGGGUCUCUUCUUCUUCAUUCAUUUCUUUAUUUGUAUCAAAUAAAUCAUUAAUUAAUUAAUAAUAAUAAAAUGAACAUAUAAUUCACAAAAUUCAAGAAAAAGAUCUUUGAAUAUCCCUAACAUUUCUCUAUAGAAUCAUUUCCCAUACGGACUGAUUCUCUUUCAUUAAUUGACCUCAACGUUGCACAGUAUUUAUUCAUCAACAUGCUUCAUAUCAUAUUUAUCAUUGGACCAUAGUUAACUUUUUUAUUAUCUUUAAUAUGUUUCAAUAAUUCAAUGAAUACCUUUAAACAAAUAACCCAAUCUAAGACAAAAACUUUGACUACAGUCAGGUGUCACUUAACAAUGGGGAUACAUUCUGAGAAAUGCAUCAUUAAGCAGUUUUGUCCUGGUGUAAACAUCAUAGGUGAACUUACACAAACCUAGAUGGAAUAGCCUACUACACACCUAGGCUACGUGGUAUUAAUCUUACAGGACCACUCUCAUAUAUGUGGUCAG